CAGCCGCCGCGGGAAUACGAAGGGUGCAAGCGUUACUCGGAAUUACUGGGCGUAAAGCGUGCGUAGGUGGUGGUUUAAGUCCGUUGUGAAAGCCCUGGGCUCGACCUGGGAAUUGCAGUGGAUACUGGGUCACUAGAGUGUGGUAGAGGAUAGUGGAAUUUCCGGUGUAGCAGUGAAAUGCGUAGAGAUCGGAAGGAACAUCUGUGGCGAAGGCGACUAUCUGGGCCAACACUGACACUGAGGCACGAAAGCGUGGGGAGCAAACAGGAUUAGAUACCCGCGUAGUCCCUGUCUCUUAUAC
RNAcentral lists this ribosomal RNA (301 nucleotides) under uncultured bacterium. RNAcentral describes it as "partial 16S ribosomal RNA". It matches the Rfam family "Bacterial small subunit ribosomal RNA", at positions 509 to 807 of the family's 1533-position model. The record is from RNAcentral.